AGCGAACGCUGGCGGCAGGCCUAACACAUGCAAGUCGAACGACACUUUCGGGGGUAGUGGCGGAUGGGUGAGGAACAUGUGGGAACGUGCCUUUAGGUUCGGAAUAAUUCAGGGAAACUUGUGCUAAUACCGAAUGUGUCCUCCGGGGGAAAGAUUUAUCGCCCUUAGAGCGGCCCGCGUCUGAUUAGCUAGUUGGUUAAGGUAAUGGCUCACCAAGGUGACGAUCAGUAGCUGGUCAGUGAGAAAGAGCAGCCACAUUGACGCUGAGACACGGUCCAGACUCUUGCAGAAGGGAGCAGUGGGUGAUCUAGCACUAUCGGCGAAAGCAAGAAGCAGCCCUGCCGCUUGAAUGAUGAAGUUCUUAAGGAAAAGAAAUUCUUUAACCGGGGGCGAUAAUGACGGUACCCGGAGAAGAAGCACCGGCUAACUUCGUG
RNAcentral lists this ribosomal RNA (434 nucleotides) under uncultured bacterium. Its description in RNAcentral is "partial 16S ribosomal RNA". It matches the Rfam family "Bacterial small subunit ribosomal RNA", at positions 29 to 507 of the family's 1533-position model. The record is from RNAcentral.